GAACACUUGAAUCAUUCCUGUUACCUUUUCUAUGUGAAUUUCCUGAAGGUUAAUUAAUCUGCUUACUGCCUGGCUCCUUGUCCAUAGGGAUGGUCCUGUAUAGCCCUCUGAUUCCAUGUGUGAUGCUCAUGACCUUGAGCAUGUUCCCUACAGCUUCUGAUUGUAUUCAGGGAGGAAUGAGGCUCUAGUAUGAGCAUUUUUUGUGAUUUCUCUCACUGUAGAAUAAAGAAUUACAGAGAUAGGCUUUUCUUGAUUGUGUCUUAAAUAUUCAGUAGUGAAAACCUUUGUCAGUUGGUGCUACUUGCUUUUAAAAUAUAACCUGAAAUGUUUCUUCUUUUUAUGUUUAAAUUAUUUUUUAUGGAUGUUUUUCACCCUGGGCUUGAGUUUUCCUGGGACUCUGCUUCUUUGACAAUAAUUCCCUUGUGCUUGAGCACACGUUCAUUUCCAGUGGGCCCUCAGUAAACUGAACUUACUCAUGGAAUAAAAGUGAAGAGUAGAGAUUUUGAUAAAAUUUAACUGUUAAUGUGAGUUGAAGUAUUUUUUUCAGAGGUGUAAUUAGUCUCAGUAUUAGCCAUCCAUUCAGAUAGCUUGGCUUAACCACAAUAAUCAUACCAGGGAAGUCCAGAUUCAUUUUUUUUUUUAUCAGCUGGCUUGGAAAUUUGACUUUUGUUCAGAUGACUACUUUUUGUUUUUCCAGUGGGUAUUGCAGUUCAUGACUUUGCCUAACAGAGAAUACCACCCUCUUCCUCAUCAUGACAUAACCCACACAUAUCCUACCCAUGGCUGGAACUCCAGUUCACUGAGCAUCCCUGCAUACCCCAAGGGGAAAGUGCAUUAAUAUCCAUUUUCCUUGUCCACUGUUUUUCUCCAAUUCAUAAUAAACACAAUUCCAGGUAAAUCUCUUCACCGUGCAGUGCUAACUUCUCUUUCCUCCCUAGCAGCUCUUGGGUGCCUGCCUGUGGCACAAACCCCCAGUAUCUUUCCAAAUUGAUGCAGAUUGUCCUUCCACUGCUGUCCCAUGUGUACCUGUGGUAUUCAGAGCUGUCAAGAGGGUGAGGCCCUUGCAGGAUGAUGGGAUGAUACUGAAUGACUGAUCACAGUUCCAGAAUCUCUUACCUUUUAAGUAGUAAAAAUACAUUCUAUUAGAUUCUUUUAGAGUUUGCUGGAGUCUUCUAUAGCUGAUCAGUCUCUCUUAUGACAAGCUCAUAUUAAACAAAUCUUAAAAAUGACAGAUGUUAAUGCACUAAGGUGAGACUCAUUCUACCUCCUGGGCCUGAGUUCUCUUGUUGGCAGCUCAACACUGGCUUCUCUUGAUGGUACAGCAAACCUGCUAAUUCCUAUAGUUUUAAUCUCUUCUCUCUCCUCUGUAAGUUCAUGACUCUGUUUAGUGGUGGUUGCACUGUCACUUAAGUUCCAGAUUUUUUAGAUAAUAUACAGGUCUAGACUGCACUUUGUUCUGGGUUUGGCUCCUGUCACUAACACAUUCAUGCCUUCUCAUUCACAGAAGCACUCUCUUGGAUGAAGACUGUAAUGUAUUAAAUACUGUAUUUACUGUCUUUUGUUUCAGAGGGUGAUCUUUUUCUGGCUUUGUCCUGAAAUUGUUGGGGUGUCCUACGGUAGGCUUCUUUCUACUAUUGUACCUUCUGUUCUAAACCAGGAGACUUGCUGUUCCCUGACACAUCCCUCCCACUCCUGUGGUUUUGUUUUCUCCUCACACCCUUUCCUCUAUGUGGGUUGUUGAAAUCCCGCCACCUCAUUAAGUUCCAUCUUGAAUGCCACAUCUUCUUGAUUCCUCAAACCCAAUGUGCACUUUCUCCUUUGAAUUCUAUAUCUGUUUUGUAGUCCUGUCUUGUAACCCCUUAUAUUAAAGUUACUUGUAUCAUCUUCCCUAUCGUUUCUUCGUAGUAUCUGGUAUAUUUACAAGGUGCUCAUGAAUUGAGUUAAAUUAAAAUUUCCUCUUAACUUUAGACCAGUGACUCUCAAACUAUGAUUUCUGGACCAAUAUCGGUAUCACCUGCUAACUUGUUAGAAAUGCAGAUUUCUUGGUCUCCACCAUGGACCUGCUGGCUCAGCUGCUCCAAGGGUGGCACCAGCAGUGUGUCCUUUGACAAGCCCUUCAUUCUCAGCUUUGAGAACCACUGACGUAGCCUUCCUAAGAGUUGGUAUCCAGCCUCUUUAUCAAGAACAUGGCUUUCCAUUUGUAGGAAAUACCAUCAUUUCAAACUGUGUUUAGAUGCAUCCUGGGGAUUCUGGACUGGUAGGGGAGAGGGUGGCACCUGCAGUCCUCCCAGUAUUUUUUCAUUAGCAGCUCUGCUUUUAUUCCUUUAAUGGACUAGUCUGCCAUGAAAAUUUUCUUUGAAGAAGGGGCUGCAUCUUAAGAAAAGUUUGAAAAUUGCUGAUCCAAAUUUGUUGGCAUGAGGUUGGCAAACUACUGCCCCUGCUCACAGGGCCUGAUGUGUCAAUAAAGUUUUAUUGGAACGCAGCUUCAUCCAUUGGCUCACACAUGCCCAUGCUGCUCUCAGGCCACAGUGGCAGAGCUGAGUUGUGUGAGUAGUGCCUGUGACCUGUAGGCCUAAGGUGUUUACUAGGUGGCCCUAGAAGGAAAGGUUUGCUGAUCUCUAACUUCAGCCACACAGAAUGAUGUCACGUACCUCGAAGUAAGAAGAAAAACAUCCCUGAGUGUCGUAAACUCACCAACAUUCUAACAUAUUACAUCAUGUAGGUAGAUAUUCAACAUAUCAUAUAUAAUAAUAAGCCCAUAAACAUCACUGCAGAGGAGAAAAACCACCUCCCGUCUUCCAGAAAAGUAGGUCACAUCAGCAGACAAAAUGAUGUGAGUAUUAAGGGUAGCAGACUUUCUUACCUACCUCAUUUGCUCAUGACAUCUUGAAUACAUUUUAGGACAUUAAAGUAUUAC
Molecule: long non-coding RNA, 2917 nt
Filed under: Marmota monax (woodchuck)
Lineage: Eukaryota; Metazoa; Chordata; Mammalia; Rodentia; Sciuridae
Source: RNAcentral